This 253-nucleotide ribosomal RNA is filed under the name uncultured bacterium. Its description in RNAcentral is "partial 16S ribosomal RNA". It matches the Rfam family "Bacterial small subunit ribosomal RNA", at positions 524 to 776 of the family's 1533-position model. The record is from RNAcentral.
UACGUAGGGGGCUAGCGUUGUCCGGAAUCAUUGGGCGUAAAGAGCGCGUAGGCGGCUGGAAUAGUCCGGUGUGAAAUCCACAGGCUUAACCUGUGAAUGCCGCUGGAAACUGUCUGGCUAGAGUCCGGAAGGGGCGAGUGGAAUUCCUGGUGUAGCGGUGAAAUGCGCAGAUAUCAGGAGGAACACCAAUGGCGAAGGCAGCUCGCUGGGACGGUACUGACGCUGAGAAGCGAAAGCAUGGGGAGCGAACAGG